Molecule: long non-coding RNA, 1433 nt
Organism: Puntigrus tetrazona (Sumatra barb)
Lineage: Eukaryota; Metazoa; Chordata; Actinopteri; Cypriniformes; Cyprinidae
Exons: 3
Source: RefSeq, a predicted model, not a curated record
AGUACGGCUGGGCAGCAUUCUAAUGUACAUCAUCUGCCACGGUCACUUGGUGUAGGCAUAGUGUCCAGUAUAGUUGGUAGUGCAGCGGAGGUAUGGUUUCGUCCUUGGGAUUGAAGGGCCUAGAGGGCAUGUCUUUUUUUUUUUUUUUUUUUUUUUUAUUAGUUCACCGUCGGGGCGACGGUACAGAAGGUGGGGGUGGAUUGUGACCGAUCGUAUUGGAUAAGUGAUGGUGACUGACAUUUGUAACAGCCAAUCAGCAGUAAGUGUGACCUAUUUUAGAGCAGGUUGGCUUUGUUGGGUCAUGCGUCACCUCCGGCCCCGCCCUUUGGUUUUUUGUUAUGUUGACUUGUGUUUUAGGUAUGUGUUAGCAGUUAGCUCUUCGUUUGUCUCUUUUAUAAUGUUGUGGACUAAUCGUUUGUUAUUUCAUUUUAGCCUGUCUUUUCCUUUGUUUUCUGUCGAUGGCCAUGAGUUUAAUGACUGCUGUUUAUUCAGGUAAGCGCUUAAUACUGCUAGAAAAUGGGUUGGUAUGGACGGAGUGCGCAGUUUGAAUAAUAGGCAGUUUCCUGUACCCUAGCUUGUUAUUGGUAUUACUGAGGAUGCCGAAUCCCAAUUUGUGAAUGCGUGCGAGCAUACUUUUUCCGGUUUGGAUUCUCCCUUUCGUCCUGGGCGAUUAAAUGCGCCGCUCCUGACGUUUUUUUCCUGUCGCGCCGUGAACUUUCGGUUACUCGGAAGUCUUAGUUGAUACGGAGAUCUGCUUCCCGCUACCUGCUUCCCGCUACCUGCUACCUGCUACCUGCUAUCUACUACUGAUCCCUGUGAUUGUGAUUUGUGUUACUGGUUAUUAUUGUUUGUUUUUGUUUUGUUUAAAGUGGUUCUGCUUGAGGGCAUCUAUUUGAUUAUGGAGUAGCCGGUGCCCUGUGUGGAUUUUGCUCCUCCAUUGUGGAACUACAAAAAUUGUAUUCUUUUUCUUUCCUUUUUUAUAAUUUGUGUAUUUUUUGUUUUGUUGGACAUUUUGUAUUGUUUAUAUUCAACAUUAGUUUGCCUUGGUUGAAUUUGUUUGUUCGUUUCCCUUUCCUUUUUCUUGUGACAUUGCCUGGAUUAGUGUGUAAGGUUUUGGUUUGUGUAAUACACAUUGCAUAUACUCAUUUUAUUUUUAUCUUCUUACAGGAGCUGGGGUUCCACGGGUGCAGGAGCUUGAGGUGGUGGUGUCACUUCAUCAUUUGCUGUGGACACGUUUGUGUGUGUCGGGGUGUGUGUGUGUGUGUGGAGGUGUAAGUGUGCUUUUGGCUAAAUUCAGCACUGGUGAUCACUCCCGUGGGUGACCUCAGCCCUUUACCAUUGGAGAGUGCUGCCGGCAGUAGGUGAUGAGGAUUCAAUGUGACUUUUAAAUGGUGAAACAAUUGUGAAAAUAAAUUUUGUACUUUCAUGCUUUA